UACGGAAGGCAGCAGGUGGGGAAUAUUGCACAAUGGGCGAAAGCCUGAUGCAGCUAUGCCGCGUGUAUGAAGAAGGCCUUAGGGUUGUAAAGUACUUUCAUCGGGGAAGGAAAAACAAAACUAAUAAUUUUAUUUCUUGACGUUACCCGAAAAAGAAGCACCGGCUAACUCCGUGCCAGCAGCCGCGGUAAUACGGAGGGUGCUGGCGUUAAUCAGAAUUACUGGGCGUAAAGAGCACGUAGGUGGUUUUUUUAAGUUCAGAUGUGAAAUCCCUGGGCUUAACCUAGGAACUGCAUUUUGAAACUGAAAUACUAGAGUAUCGUAGAGGGAGGUAGAAUUCUAGGUGUAGCGGUGAAAUGCGUAGAUAUCUGGAGGAAUACCUGUGGCGAAAGCGGCCUCCUAAACGAAUACUGACACUGAGGGUGCGAAAAGCGUGGGGAGGCAAACAGGGAUUAGAUACC
RNAcentral lists this ribosomal RNA (461 nucleotides) under uncultured bacterium. RNAcentral's name for it is "bacterial SSU rRNA". It matches the Rfam family "Bacterial small subunit ribosomal RNA", at positions 340 to 786 of the family's 1533-position model. The record is from RNAcentral.